CCACCGAGACCAGAGAUAGCGGUACCCUGAGUCGGCCCUACUUAGGGAUGCAAGAAUGAAAAUAAUCAAGUUGUAAUAAUAUUGUUAAAUUGGAUUGUAUUUGGAAGUUAAGUGAAAGCUAAUAUUGGAAUCUAAUGAGAUUUGUGAUGUAAAAAUGGAUGAAUGUGAAUGCAUGUAAUAACAUAGGAUGUGUUAUAUUGUUUGAUACCUUCCAUUAUGCAAUCCUUGAUUGAAAUGUGUUCCUGGUUGGAACUUCGCACAUUGUAUUGAUUGCUAUGCCUUGAACGUACAGCGGAGACUCUGUCCGCAGUACAGGGGAAACCCUGUCCGUUCGGCGAUCUAUCGGCGGUGCCGCGACCCGGCCAAAUAGGCAGGCAGUCGCGGGGCGUGACAGUUCCGACCUAUGGUUCGAGUCCCGAGAAUUGUGUUUUUAAGCUUGGUACCAAAAUCCAAAAAUUGGAUUCAUUGGACAGCUCUCGGGUUAGCCUGCAGCAGAGCUUGUACCGGAACAAGGUUGGUCUUGUACCGGUACAAGGAUUGAUGGUUGUACCGGUACAGCCAUCGGGCUUGUACCGGUACAGAGCCGCAGACCCCGCGACCCGAGCCUCGGGUUUGCAUUUUCGUGGGCCUUGUACCGGUACAAGAGCCCGUGUACCGGUACAAGGAGGCAGUUUUCGUGCAGAAUGAAACUGCAGGGGGUUUUUCGCAUUUGUAGCCCUCUAUUAGUAACCCCACGCCCCUAGGGCAUCCCCUGAGCUUGGAACCUGCAGGGAGAAAGGUGAGGAAGCCCUCCACACCUUUCUUUGAGAUUUCUUUGAUUUUGGUUGGGGUUUUAAGAGAUUAAACUCUCUUUUGCUUGGCUAGAGACUUCUCCCCCGUUGGUGGAGCUAGGAGCUUGGGUUUGAGGCUUGAUUGAGGAGAGCUCUUUGGACUUAGAGCAUUUAGAGCUUGGUUUGAAGCUUCUAAGAGGUAAGCAACAUGUUAUCUCCCUCUAGAUUUGAGUUUUUAUGGAUUUCUUGAGAUGAAACCCUAGAUUUGGCAUAUUGGGGCUAAAAAUGGGGACUUUUGAUUUGAGGGCUUUGAAACCAAAUUGAUGGAUUUUGAACCUUUGUUUAGGUUAGAUUGGAAGGACUCUAGCUCCCAUUUGGAGAUUGAGAGAGCUUCCUUCGCAAUCGGUGAGUUUUCUCCAACCCUAGCCCAAGAUGGUUAAUGAUUGAGCUUAGCGUUAUCCGUUUCGGUUAGGUGACACUUGUUUUCAUACCUCUAGGAUACUAGGAGGCUAGAGGACACCCUCUGUAACAUAUGAAAAUUUGGAGUUGCGAUGUCAACUUUGAUCUCGGGGAUCAAACUGAGGAUUGAGCUAGUUGGACAUCAUCCUCGAGUGAUUCGUGAUGCGUUGGAAUGAAUUUCGGAGAUAAAUAAGUAUUUCGGCGCAAAUUGGGCGCGAAACGAAAUGUAAAAAGAAUUUUCGGAUUUCCGACGCUAACUUUGAUUAAAAGAAUUAAAGUAAGGCGUAAGGAUAAAUUGUGGAAUCUCCGAAUCAAUUGUGAAGUUACGGAAAAGCCAAGGGUGUGUUUUCAAAGGGUUUUGAAGUGUUCAGUGCGAAGUGGUAGUGCAAAAAGGAGAAAUUUCUGCCGUGUAAUGAAAUUGGAGCCGAUUCUAUUGCUAAUUCGGCUCAAAUAAUGUCAAAAUGAAAAAGAAUUGCUUCCAAAUUAAAUUGGUAGCUUAUGAAGGUCCCUUGGUAUAUUUUGGAAGUAUUUGGGUGAAAUCGGAGCGAAAACGGAAAAUUUAGAAUUUUUUGUAAAGAACGGGACUGAGAAAAUUAGCAGAAAAUGCACAGUGUCAGAAAAUUAUGAAAAUUGGCAGAGAUGUCAGGAACAUUUUAAUGAGGCUAGAUUUGAAGUUUCAGAUUUUUCUGACACCUGUAGAGAGAGAAAUAGCAUUUGGAAGUUAUCUGAUAA
RNAcentral lists this long non-coding RNA (1961 nucleotides) under Ananas comosus (pineapple). RNAcentral describes it as "long non-coding RNA (ACOM_LNC039373)". The record is from RNAcentral. Lineage: Eukaryota; Viridiplantae; Streptophyta; Magnoliopsida; Poales; Bromeliaceae.